This is a long non-coding RNA of Anguilla anguilla (European eel), 522 nucleotides long. RefSeq lists it as uncharacterized. Lineage: Eukaryota; Metazoa; Chordata; Actinopteri; Anguilliformes; Anguillidae. The record is from RefSeq and is a predicted model, not a curated record. The transcript is spliced from 3 exons.
AAAAAUGGGAAGUGAGUCAGAUCUGCAACAGCACAUUCUGCUUUAUAUUUAGUGUGAAGUAGUUUCUUCGCGGUCACAUUCAGCCACACUGAUCUGUCUGUAAGGCUGUUUAAUACUAAUGGCUCAUUAGCAAACCACUGAGGCCACAUCAGAACUCUCUCCUGUCGGAUCCAGCCAAGCUCUCCAAAACCUUGUUGGUAACCCUCACCCUCCUGUCUGUGUCAGGUGUUCUGAGCCAGAGGGGAUGGGGAGUGACUUACACUCCUGAGAGAAUCUGUGCCUUAAAGGGGUCUUCAGUAGACAUGAGCUGCACUUACUCACAUCCCCCAUAUCACAAAGUGCAGAGUACAUUCUGGUUUAUUUAUGACUGGGGCAGGGUAUUGGACCUGUCCAAGGACUCAGAGUACUCUGACCGUGUGGAGUACCUGGGGAAUAAGAACAAUGACUGCACUUUUAGAAUAAACAGCUGAGAAAAACUGAUUCAAAAACAUACCGAUUCAGGGUCCUGACCGACCGUGGUAA